Molecule: ribosomal RNA, 388 nt
Filed under: uncultured bacterium
Lineage: Bacteria
Description: bacterial SSU rRNA
Rfam family: Bacterial small subunit ribosomal RNA
Source: RNAcentral
GACGAACGCUGACGGUGUGCUUUAGACAUGCAAGUCGAGCGAGAAAGCCCUUCGGGGUUAGUAAAGCGGCGAACGGGUGAGUAACACGUGGGCAAUCUGCCCCUCGCAGGGGGACAACCGGGGGAAACUCCGGCUAAUACCCCGUAAGUUUCCAGAGUCGCAUGGCUUUGGAAAGAAAGGUAGCUUCGGCCAUCCGGCGAGGGAUGAGCCCGCGGUACAUUAGCUAGUUGGUGGGGUAACGGCCUACCAAGGCGGCGAUGUAUAGCUGGUCUGAGAGGAUGAUCAGCCACACUGGGACUGAGACACGGCCCAGUACUCCGUACGGGAGGCAGCAGUCGGGAAUCUUGCACAAUGGGCAAAGCCUGAUGCAGCAACACCGUGUGAGCGA